This is a long non-coding RNA of Labeo rohita (rohu), 2404 nucleotides long. RefSeq lists it as uncharacterized. The transcript has 3 exons. The record is from RefSeq and is a predicted model, not a curated record. Lineage: Eukaryota; Metazoa; Chordata; Actinopteri; Cypriniformes; Cyprinidae.
UAUUCUCAUUUCACUUACAGUUUGAUUACUUACAUUAGGCCUACACUAUCCACUUACACAAUACGUUAUCAAGUUUCAGGACAUUUUAUCUGUCAUUCUGACAUCUGUACAUUGUACUUCAUGUAUGUAUUUAUGUAAACGCUACAUUUUAAACGGGCACGCGCUUUGAACGUUCGAGUUGUAUUUAAACUGCAGCGGAGAGAGAGUUACUAUGGAAACGGGGAAGCAGCUUAACUGACAAGCGGCGAGUCUCCGUCUGUCACACCGCUUUACGGUAAGUUUUGUCCCUAAUAAGACAAAAAUAAUACAUACAACUGUUCCUAACACUUUCUUAUAUGUAAUAGACACGUUUCUGUUGAAUAUUUACUUUAUAGAAAUGGUUUAGUGUCUUCGGAAAAAGUCCGUUAGCAUCUCAACCGUUAGGCUAACUAUAAGAUGUAGGCUAACUGUAGAGUUUAGCUCUUAAUUCAUAAAGUUUUCGCUUUUAGUCACAUACUAUGUGUAGAUGACAGUUUUUUGUAUAUAUAUAGUUUUGUAAAUAUUGCUGGCAAUUUGUCAGUGGAUGAACGGAAGUAAACCAUUUAACCCAAAUGUAUGGGCUGUACUGUUAAUCGGUGACGUCACUUACAUGGAGCGUGAAAAUUAACUCAAAUCUUUUUAAACACGUUUUGAUCCCACUAAAAAGAUAUUGAUAAAAAUUGUACUGUGAUUUCAGCAGCAUCAGUAAGUUAUUUGACUUCCAAACAAACUGUGAUGUGAUACUGUAUGAGUUUGUUUAUUUCUAAUAAUGCUGACCUUGCAUAUUACAUAUUGCUGGCUCUGUGACAAAUUGUUUAUGUUUCUAACAUUAGAUUCUUCAUGCUGAUGGCAGUACUGCAGUAGAGUUGGAGCGGACCUCCUGUUGAAGAGCAUCUCCAAGGUGCUAUGAACCAUCUGACUAGAAAGCCGUCUCGUUUAACUCAUUGAGGACACUUGGUAUACAGCAACCUACAGAGGGGCCCAAUGGCAGUUUGUGAAGACAGACAAACAAGAGAUGCUGUGUCAACCUGGACAGAAGUCCGUUUCAGAUCCACCUUCCACACCAGACUUCUCAUAUGGAUUGCUGUCUACUAGCAUAUUAUUUGUUCCCCUCAGAAUUUAGUGCAUGCAGACAUUACUCAGGAACAUGAACACGAAUAUUGCAAGAAUAGAGAAUGUGCCGUAUUUCGGAUAUGAAUGUUAAUUGCUCUUAAGCAUUAAAAAAAAUUAUUUUUACAUUUUUUUUUCCCCAAAGCACCUAUAAGCCAAUUCACACUGAAUCUCACGAGUCAGAGUUAAAAAAAAAAAAACUCUGGUUUAGAUAAUUCACUUCUUUACAACCUUGUUUCUUUUUGGGGUUGUACUGAAUUCUGUGACCCACCAAAUUUUGUGAACCUAGGCACUGCAGUGAGCUAAUCUGACCUACUACUAAACCCAACCCUCUAGUCCUACCAUUUUUUGCCAUACUGAUUACCAUUUGUAUAACCAUAAUUAAAACUGUUUUUGUAGCAAAACCAUUUUUAAUUUUUGGUUACCAUAAAAUAUUUUAAAUGUUUCUAAACUACCCUCGGCAGUAGAGUCAUAUAAUUUGGUGGGUCACAGAAUUCAGCAACUGAAUGAAUCAGCACUAAAAGAAUGGUUUUCUAACUAAGUCAUUAAGACGGUCUCUUGCUGCCACCUAGUGGCAUAAUAAUGUAACUUACAAUUAAAGCACUGAAUAACCCCUACCUAAAUACAUUUUUCCAUUAUUCCAGUAUUAUAAAAUAUUAAUUAAACAACAAUAGCCAUUAUAAACUGUAUGUAUUAUAUAUUAUUUGAACAAGUUCUAAAUUGGAUGUCAUAUACCUGUAAUUUGUGCUAAUAAAUCACUAACAAUAUAAUCAUUAGUUUUAGUGCAAAUGAGUAAUAAGAUUGCAGUGUGAUUAUUAUUAUAACUGCAAUAAAAUAAUUUGUAACUAGCUGAAAUUGAAUACAUUUUACAAAUGAAAUGUUGCUUUUUUUCUGUUAAAACAUGCAUUGAAGUUUCUUGGACUUUGUACUCAUAUUUAACUUUGCCAGUCAUUGCAUAAUUUUCAUAUGUUGUACUUUAUUUGAACCAUUAUGCUUUAUUGGUGUAUAUUCAUGCAUUUGUCUUGUUUAUUGGCUUAUUUAUUUAUUUUUGUGAACUACCCAUAUCACAUUACUUGUUAUAUUUUGUGAAUAAAUACGACGAGUGAUGAUUUUUGUUUAGUAUAAAGUAUUAGGCCUAUAUAUGUUAACCUAGCCUUAUAAAACCAGCAAUGCUACAAGGUAAGGUGAAAUGUAAAUAAGUGCUUUUAAGAUCAAUAGUCAGAUUUAACACUGUAAAGAAAACAUUUUGAUGGCAGCAUGUAAAGUACCAGUUUGG